RNAcentral lists this ribosomal RNA (514 nucleotides) under uncultured bacterium. RNAcentral's name for it is "bacterial SSU rRNA". It matches the Rfam family "Bacterial small subunit ribosomal RNA", at positions 28 to 524 of the family's 1533-position model. The record is from RNAcentral.
GAUGAACGCUAGCUACAGGCUUAACACAUGCAAGUCGAGGGGCGAUCGGGAAGGAAAGACUUGCUUUCUUUUGUCCGGCGACCGGCGCACGGGUGAGUAACACGUAUCCAACCUGCCCUUUACUCGGGGAGUAGCCUUUCGUAAGAAAGAUUAAUACCCGACUAGUAUAAUGAUUCCGCAUGGUUUCAUUAUUAAAGGAUUCCGGUAAAGGAUGGGAGUGCGUUCCAUUAGGUUGUUGGUGAGGUAACGGCCCACCAAGCCUUCGAUGGAUAGGGGUUCUGAGAGGAAGGUCCCCCACCAUUGGAACUGAGACACGGUCCAAACUCCUACGGGAGGCAGCAGUGAGGAAUAUUGGUCAAUGGGCGGCUAGCCUGAACCAGCCAAGUAGCGUGAAGGAUGAAGGCUCUAUGGGUCGUAAACUUCUUUAUAUAAGAAUAAAGUGCAGUAUGUAUACUGUUUUGUAUGUAUUAUAUGAAUAAGGAUCGGCUAACUCCGUGCCAGCAGCCGCCGUAAU